CCUACGGGAGGCAGCAGUGGGGAAUUUUGCGCAAUGGGGGCAACCCUGACGCAGCAACGCCGCGUGAGUGAUGAAGGCCUUCGGGUCGUAAAGCUCUGUCAGAGGGGAAGAAAUGCAGGUGGUGAACAACCAUUCUGUUUGACGGUACCCUCAAAGGAAGCACCGGCUAACUCCGUGCCAGCAGCCGCGGUAAUACGGAGGGUGCGAGCGUUGUUCGGAAUUAUUGGGCGUAAAGCGCGUGUAGGCGGUUUGUUAAGUCGGAGGUGAAAGCCCCGGGCACAACCUGGAAAGUGCAUUGGAUACUGGCAGACUUGAGUACGGGAGAGGAGAGUGAAAUUCCCAGUGUAGGAGUGAAAUCCGUAGAUAUUGGGAGGAACCCCGGAGGCGAGGGCGGUCUCCGGGCCCGUUACUGACGCUCAGGCACGAAAGCGGGGGGAGCAAACAGGAUUAGAUCCCCGAGUAGU
RNAcentral lists this ribosomal RNA (464 nucleotides) under uncultured Geobacteraceae bacterium. Its description in RNAcentral is "partial 16S ribosomal RNA". It matches the Rfam family "Bacterial small subunit ribosomal RNA", at positions 338 to 794 of the family's 1533-position model. The record is from RNAcentral. Lineage: Bacteria; Pseudomonadati; Thermodesulfobacteriota; Desulfuromonadia; Geobacterales; Geobacteraceae.